GUGCACCAGGCGCGAAACUUCACACUGUGCGAAAGCACGAUGAGGGAAUCCCAAGUGCUUGCACGUAAGUGUAAGCUGUUUCUCUGUUUAAAACGCAGAGAGAGUAAGGGCUGGGUAAGACGGGUGCCAGCCGCCGCGGUAAUACCUGCAGCUCAAGUGGUGACCGUUAUUAUUGGGCCUAAAACGUCCGUAGCCGGUUUAAUAAAUGCCUGGGUAAAUCGUGUAGCUUAACUAUACGAAUUCCGGGUAGACUGUUAAACUCGAGACCGGGAGAAGUUAGAGGUACUCCUGGGGUAGAGGUGAAAUUCUGUAAUCCUAGGAGGACCACCAGUGGCGAAGGCGUCUAACUAGAACGGGUCUGACGGUGAGGGACGAAGCCCUGGGGCGCAAACGGGAUUAGAUACCCCUGUAGU
Molecule: ribosomal RNA, 413 nt
Filed under: uncultured microorganism
Description: bacterial SSU rRNA
Rfam family: Archaeal small subunit ribosomal RNA
Source: RNAcentral